RNAcentral lists this ribosomal RNA (463 nucleotides) under uncultured bacterium. RNAcentral's name for it is "partial 16S ribosomal RNA". It matches the Rfam family "Bacterial small subunit ribosomal RNA", at positions 28 to 507 of the family's 1533-position model. The record is from RNAcentral.
GAUGAACGCUGACAGAAUGCUUAACACAUGCCAGUCUUUGGCGAAGCUGUGCUUGCACAGCCUAGCCAAGGCGGACGGGUGAGUAACGCGUAAGGAACUUGCCCUGCAGUCAGGGAUAACAGACGGAAACGACUGAUAAGACCUGGUAAAGUCAGGCGGACUCAUGUCCAGCCUGAUGAAAAGAGAUGCUGCAGGAGAGCCUUGCGUCCUAUUAGCUUGUUGGUGGGGUAACGGCCCACCAAGGCGAUGAUAGGUAGCCGGCCUGAGAGGGUGGACGGCCACAAGGGGACUGGGAUACGGCCCUUACUCCUACGGGAGGCAGCAGUGGGGAAUAUUGGACAAUGGGGGCAACCCUGAUCCAGCAAUUCUGUGUGCACGAUGAAGGUUUUCGGAUUGUAAAGUGCUUUCAGCAGGGAAGAAAAAAAUGACGGUACCUGCAGAAGAAGCGACGGCUAAAUACGUG